ACGAACGCUGGCGGCGUGCCUAAUACAUGCAAGUCGAACGAGCUCUCCCAAAUUGAUUUUAUGCUUGCAUAAAUGAUUUUUGGAUUCGGAGCGAGUGGCGAACUGGUGAGUAACACGUGGGUAACCUGCCCCGAAGCGGGGGAUAACAUUUGGAAACAAGUGCUAAUACCGCAUAAUUAGUUGGAACCGCAUGGUUCCAACUUGAAAGAUGGCUCUGCUAUCACUUUGGGAUGGACCCGCGCCGUAUUAGUUAGUUGGUGAGAUAAAAGCCCACCAAGACGAUGAUACGUAGCCGACCUGAGAGGGUAAUCGGCCACAUUGGGACUGAGACACGGCCCAGACUCCUACGGGAGGCAGCAGUAGGGAAUCUUCCACAAUGGACGAAAGUCUGAUGGAGCAACGCCGCGUGAGUGAUGAAGGUUUUCGGAUCGUAAAACUCUGUUGUUAAAGAAGAACAAGUGUUAGAGUAACUGUUAACACUUUGACGGUAUUUAACCAGAAAGCCACGGCUAACUACGUGCCAGCAGCCGCGGUAAUACGUAGGUGGCAAGCGUUGUCCGGAUUUAUUGGGCGUAAAGCGAGCGCAGGCGGUUUUGUAAGUCUGCUGUGAAAGCCCUCAGCUCAACUGAGGAAGUGCAGUGGAAACUACAAAACUUGAGUACAGAAGAGGAAAGUGGAACUCCAUGUGUAGCGGUGAAAUGCGUAGAUAUAUGGGAAGAACACCAGUGGCGAAGGCGGCUUUCUGGUCUGUUACUGACGCUGAGGCUCGAAAGCAUGGGUAGCGAACAGGAUUAGAUACCCUGGUAGUCCCAUGCCGUAAACGAUGAAUACUAGGUGUUGGAGGGUUUCCGCCCUUCAGUGCCGCAGCUAACGCAUUAAGUAUUCCGCCUGGGGAGUACGACCGCAAGGUUGAAACUCAAAGGAAUUGACGGGGGCCCGCACAAGUGGUGGAGCAUGUGGUUUAAUUCGAUGCUACGCGAAGAACCUUACCAGCUCUUGACAUCUUCUGCCAACCCAAGAGAUUGGGCGUUCCCUUCGGGGACAGAAUGACAGGUGGUGCAUGGUUGUCGUCAGCUCGUGUCGUGAGAUGUUGGGUUAAGUCCCGCAACGAGCGCAACCCUUAUUAUUAGUUGCCAGCAUUUAGUUGGGCACUCUAGUGAGACUGCCGGUGAUAAACCGGAGGAAGGUGGGGACGACGUCAAAUCAUCAUGCCCCUUAUGAGCUGGGCUACACACGUGCUACAAUGGAUGGUACAACGAGUCGCGAAACCGCGAGGUCAAGCUAAUCUCUUAAAGCCAUUCUCAGUUCGGAUUGCAGGCUGCAACUCGCCUGCAUGAAGUUGGAAUCACUAGUAAUCGUGGAUCAGCAUGCCACGGUGAAUACGUUCCCGGGCCUUGUACACACCGCCCGUCAAG
RNAcentral lists this ribosomal RNA (1415 nucleotides) under uncultured Bacilli bacterium. RNAcentral describes it as "bacterial SSU rRNA". It matches the Rfam family "Bacterial small subunit ribosomal RNA", at positions 29 to 1401 of the family's 1533-position model. Lineage: Bacteria; Bacillati; Bacillota; Bacilli. The record is from RNAcentral.